CUGCCUGAGAGCGAGGGGAUGGAUUUAGAUAAUCUCUCAAGGUCCCUUCCAGACUUAUAUUUCUAGGCUAGAUGUAAUGUCACUUUACUACAUACUGCUUCUAAAAAUAUUAAUUGUAUUGCCAAAUAUAUGUACCGCCUGAGUGUUUCCAUAGUGUGUUUUAUGCAGAAAUAGUUGAACAUGUGAAAUAUUGUACAACCAUCCAUUAAUUUUGCUAUUGACAAUGAUUUUGGGGGUAGAACUACUAGUUAGAAUAUGUUGGGAUGGCAAACCUCUAGAGGUUUUCCAUAUUCCUAUGCCCUACCAGUUGGGUUUGAAUGGGAGAAUUCCUAGAGGGCCAUUGUAUUGAACUGGUAGACAUGUAUGCUAUUCUUCUGUAGUUGUUAGUGAGCCGGAUAGAUGGAAACUUGACCUCUUUUUGAGGUAAACAUACGAAUCUAAUCUGUAGAGAACAUGGGCAGGGGAGGAAGGGAGGCAGAGAAUGUUUCAGAUAUAAUCAGUAUCAAGGAAGCAAAACAAUGCGUUUCCCAAGUACCUUAUAUGGCUACAGCCAGCCUUAGUUACCUCUUGGCAGUUUUUGUUUCCUUUGUGUUGGUGCUACAGUAACCCCUCUCCAUUUACUGUUGGCAUGUAGAGGAGAUCUCCAAGAAUGAACUCCUUGACCUUCCCAGGUGCCACUCGUUUGGAGUUCAUAAGACUGUUUCUUUUCAUAGCUGGCUGCAGAAUUUCUAGUUUGCCAAGUCAGAGAAACCUGAGGUAUGGUUCAGGUCCAGCUUGCAGCAGAAUACACAGCACUGUGGUCAUGUUUCAUUGUCCCUGAGAGACCAUAGCUUCCCAUCACCACUUUAGAAAGAGCUCACCUGCCAAUGCUUUCUGACUGGAGAUGGCGGCAGGAAGCCACAAUUGCUCAGUAAAUUGAUCUCUCCACAUUUCACAACUCUGACAAUGCAAGGCUAUUUGGAUAGAAAGAAGCUGCAGUAACUGCAAGCAACCACAAAAUACUAAAAGGGACCUUUCCCAGUUAUUUACAAUACUCAGAGUAAGAGCAAAACAAGAGUGGUUUUUUUUUUUAAACAAGUGCUUUUUAACUCUAACAUAAACACAGAAGAAUAGUAGUUUGGGAGCAGGUGCCCUAAUUUGCUCUAAAACAAAAUCCCCACGCUGCAGAUUCAAAAAUUCACCCCUCCCUGGGGUUUGGUUUUGUAAAAGAAAUUAACAAUAACAUAAAAGCACAACCAGAAUCUCCACACAGUCUAUCUUGAACCUUUUCUUCAGCAUGGUGGCUCCUACAGUGCCUACCUCAGAACUGCUCAGCCCAGAACCUAGAUCCCUUCUGUCUCUAGAAAACAGCGCCCACUUCCUUUGCAGUAUAAAACCUUCCGCUCUGCUAUGAAAAUAUCUGACUUGGCAACAACCGCUGAAUUAGACACUUAGGAUCAGGAUCUUCAUGAAACUUCCUUUUACAGUAGGAUUAUUUGAAGCAAAACCAAGGCUUACAUCAACAAUCCUAUUGAAGACUAAAGCCUGAUCCUACAAGUAGCUCUAUGCAACUGUCUAUUGACCCACUGAUUUCAGAGGGGCUUGGUUCAAAGUUCACUUAAGAGCCUGAUUCUGAUCUUACAGUAACUCCACUGACAUCAAUGGAAUUGCCGUGAGAUCAGAAUCAGGCCCUCAUACCUCAAAGUCAUUGAUGUUAAUGGAGUUACACUUGUAUAAAACCAGAUCUAUAUUUUAAAGAGAGACUGUGAUGGGACAGGGAGGGGGAACUAGGCCUCAGUAGCCCCCUACUGAUGACUCCACUGCUCUGCUGCACUCUUCAGGAAACUUAUCUGUGAAGAAAAGAGCAGCCAUUUUGAACAUCAGCAAGAUCUAGUCCUCCAGCAGCCAGAAAGCAGGGGACCAACAACAGCCAGUCAAGGCCCAUCAAGCCCAAAUAAAAGGAGCUGCUUGCUGUCAGCAAGCAAGUCAGUUCUGAGCUGGAGCUGUAAGAGUGAGGGGGGGAUUCUUCUUAGGUUGCAGCCAGAGGAACCAGGCUGGGCCAGGGCUAUUACUGACAGUGGCAAUGGUUAAGAAAGAACCCUUCUGAUUCAAUUGGAGAGAUGGAAUUUAACCCAAAUAGUGUAAGAUGCUAUUUUGUUUAUAAUUGGUCCUGAAGUGCAAGGAACUGUUUCUAUCAUUUGAGUUAGUUAUACACCAGAAAAGGCUUUGGAAUGUGUGACCCAGCCAGAAGGCCAAGCCCCAGAAGACCCAUGGAGGUAGGUUGAUAGCCUGCAGGGGGUGAUGGUAGCCCAAGAGAGAGGCAAAACUGUAACUGGAUGACAAGUAAUCCUCAAGAGGUGAGUACAGCCCACCACAGAGGCCAUAAAAUACUUCGGGGAAAAAAUUCAAAAUUAGGCACCUACAUAAAAGUGGCUUGAUUUCUUCCCCCCAACACACUGAACUCCUCUAAACUUCCAUCUCUAGGUUUCUCUCAUGGCAUUGUUCUAGCAAGUAGCUUAUAGUAUCAAUAAUUAUACAUGUAUUUAAUUAAAGAUAGUAAAUAAAAAUUCAUGGAUAUUUGAGUAUACUCAGUUUUUUCAGCUAGUAGGCUAGAUUCCAUGGUCCAUUCUGGCUGCCUUUUACCACUCCAGAGCACCCAGACACCCAGUUCAACUGGCCAAUUAAACCAGGUUUACAGCUGCUUUGCAUGGCUGGAGUGCCACAAAGGACUUCAGUAAACCUGGCCCAACCGUUAUAUAUUUACAGGAAAAUGUAAAAUUCAGGAGCACAAGCAAUAUAAGCGCAGAACUUGAUAUACCUUAAAUUUUAUGUAAUCUAGUAGAAAAAGUUAUGAGAUUAUUGAAAAGAAAUAAUCUACACUUCCUGUUCUAAUUGCACCACGGAAGACAAACAGCAGAGAAUGUGAAAGUUUUCUAAAACCAAUCCUAGAAUUGUGCUGAAUUCAGUAGGGGCAAGAUAGUGAAGCCAUAUUGGCUUGUACUCUACAACAAACUUCUCAAUCCUGACUUUGGCUUGCCCUUUGGGUUGGUGUUCUCGAUCCUGUCUCCAGUUCUGACCUUUUGUCUUAGCUCCUCCACUCUGACUCCAGCUCACCCUUGGACCUGUAUCUGACUCCUGAAUUUACACUCACCAUUAUUUCAAACUGCUGCCACAACUACCAGGCAAGGACCUGGCCCACCUACUGGGUACACCAACCAUGCCCUGGCAACCUGCAGUUUGAGCAACCCCAAAAGACCAGAUGUAGGGAAGGCAUAGGCCUAAUGACAUGGAGGUCCCUCCUGAAAUGACCUCGGCAGGAGCCCUGCUCAACCUUGUGGAGUUACUUGGAGCUUUACAGGAAAUGCAGGCCCAGGUUGUUGCACUUUGAGAUCAGAAUGCAGUCCUGCAGGCCCAGCUGCAAGCCCAUGAAGUGCAGGCACAGGAUGCCACAGUACAAGACUGGAAUGCUACCCUCAAGAUCCAGGUGCAAGCCCAGGCAGAGGCUACAGUCCUCUGACCCUCACACCUUUUAUCCACAAGCCCAAGAUCUCCAUACUGGACAAAUUCAAUGUCCCUGCCAUAUUCUGGGGGUUCUUGAAUCAGUAUUGUCUGCUAGUCAUUCUGUGACUGCUAUCAUACUCCAGGGACCAGUCCCGAGUAGGAAUUGUGAUUAGCCUGCUUACCAGAGAUUCCCUGGCAUAGGCUUCCCCACUAUUGGAGGUGUCUAGCCCUCUUCUCAAAUGCUUGAGGAGUUUGUUCAGGCAAUGGCAUGCAUUUUUUGAUUACCCUAAUGGAGAGCACACUGCAGAAGCUGGGCUCCAAGUCCUUUGGUAGGGAUCCCAACCCAUCACCAGAUCUGCAGCUGAGUUUCAAUGCCUGGCAGCUGAUACUUGCUGGAAUGAGAUGGCACAAAUACAUUACUUCUGGCAAAGACUCAAUGACGCUUUUAAGGACAAAUUAGCUCAGUUGGAAUCCCUGCCUAGGCUAGGGACCCUGAUUGAUCUGUGUAUUAGGAUAGAUCACCAACUAACAGAAUGAGAAACACAUCACUCAACCCUUGUGGAACCAGACUCCAUCUGUUGCAACUCCAGGCAAUCUAUUGGAGCAAGAUCUGAUGCAGGUCAACCAAAUGUGACCCCCAUGUAUCCACCAAUGAAAAGAGAUUAUGCCGGGCUCUAGGAGUCUGCCUGUACUUUGGGGCAUCUGGGGAUUUUUUCAAUGGGUUGCCUGGCCAAGGACCGAUGCUCCUCCAUGUCGGGAAAUGCCAGACAUGGACAAGGCUGGGUCAGUACUCCAUUCUUCUUCACAGUGAGCUGCUCUGCUGCUCCAAGAAUUUGUCAAGGGUCAUUGGAUUCCUAUCCUCUGAAAAAUCUCCCCUGAGCUCCUUUAGACCAUUCAUACAUCACCCCUCUCUUCGGGGUCCAUCACAUAUCACACCAGUGGAGGCCACCAGGAAAUCAUUCAGGGUGAUCUAUGCCUUGCAUUUGCAAAUCAUCCUUGACACCCACAACCCCCUAAUCAGCUGGCAAUCAAAGACAUUGCUCUUCUGCUCCCUGCAGUGCCAGUGAGACUGUCUCCCAAGCCCCCGUUCAUGGUUGACUGUGCUCUGUGGUAUGCUCCAACCUCCAGGGCUCCCAGAGAGGCAAGCAGUGGCCCAGUCACACAUAAAAUUCUUGUAAAAUACCUGGAGUUUACCAGGGUGUUCAAUAAACAGAAGGCAGAUGCAGGGAUGAACACCAUGAAGUUGAGGAGGAAAAUCUUACCACCAUUAUCAAAUCCUCUCACUUCAUUGGAGGGAUGGGAGAAGGCCAUCUGAUGACCACCAUCUGUUCUCUGGUGCCUCAAACAGGUGGCUGGAAAGCAGAGAGAAAUCUGGCAGUCCCCGGAAAACUUUAGUGCCUUCUUAGGGGCCAAGCUUCCAUCUACAGCAAGGCCUCCUCUUACAUUCCUGAAGAAGACCCCAGAAUCCAAGUAUUGAUGUUGUGCCAUGACUCCCCCAUGGCAGGACAUUUUGGCCAGUUCAAGACCAGGAAUCUGAUUUCCAAGUAUCUCUGAUGGCCAACCUUAUGAAAAGAUGUCAAGGACUAUGUUAGAAUGUGUCACCUCUGCAUCCACACUAAAGCACCAUGCACAAGAUCUGUAGGCCUUCUCUAACCCCUUCCUUGCCCUCACACCCUGAGUCUACCUUCUCAGUGGACUUCUUGGGAGCAGCUCUAUAAUGAAUGUUUGGUGGCCCUGAUAGUGGGGGGACCUCCUGAUGAAAAUGGCUCAUUUCAUUCCCUGUUGUACCCUUCAAUCAGCCUGUGAAAAUGCACAGUUCUUCUUGGAACACAUCUUCUGGUAUCACAGCAUGCCAGGUCACAUCAUUUCUGAUUGGGGCACCCAAUUUGUCUCCCAGUUUAGGCAGAAAUUUCUCUGCCUUUUUGGACCAAGUGCCUCCUCUCAAUUGCCUGCUACCCUCAGACUGAUGGCCAGACAGAAAGGGUCAACCAGACAAUGGAACGGUACCUCUGCUAUUUUUUGAGUGUUCACCAAAUUGACUGGGUUCUCAUUAUUUUUGACUGAAUUUACUUACAAUAAUGCAACUCAUGCCUUUACCCAGCAAAGUCCAUUUUUCAAGAACUUCAUUUUUCAUCGCUAGUUUCGCACUGAGCUAUCAGAAGGCCCUUCUGUUCUGGCAGCCACAAACUUGGUCCUUCAUCUCUGACAAAUUCGUCAGGAGCUCAGAGCAUUUGGCCACUACCAAAGAGUCGUAUAAGAGCUAUGCUGAUCGAGAUUGGCAAGUUGCCCUGGACUUAAACAUAGGAAAUAAGGUAUGGCUCUCCACCCAGAACUUGGAAUCAUCCUAUCCCUCUGCUAAGCUUGAUCACAAGUACCUGAGCCCCAUUUAGAUCACCCAGACGACAAAUCAAGUGACCUUAAAACUCCAGCUCCCAGAAUCCCUCAGUAUCCACACUGUCUUUCAGUCAGCCCUUCCCUGGGUGGAUGGCUCCACCACCUCCCCUACAAUGGCCCAGGAACAGUAUGAGGUCCAUCAAAUCCUCGACUCCUGACAGGUCAGGGAUAAGCUCCACUACCUAGUACACUGGAAGAGAUAUGGACCAGACGAGUGGUCCUAGGAUCCUGUAGAAAACAUCCAUGCCCCCACCCUGUUAUAGGAAUUUCACCAACAAUAUCCCAAGAAACCAGGAUUUAGGGCCCUACAAGGAGCCCUAGGGAAGGGGGUACUGUUGGGAGCACAGCUGUCUCUCAGCCUGGUCUCUAGGCAACCCAGCAAGCUCAGCUAGCCCCAGUGAGCCUUCGCCAAAUGGUUGUGCUCCCUGAUUGGGCUGGGGAAUCAGCAGCCUGUUGCUUGAGCCUUGCAGUAUCAGCAGCACAGCAGCUGCUCAGUGUGGUACCAUGCCUGCAGCUGUGCUUGCCCGGCUUUCACUUCUGCCUGCUGCUCCAGCCUUGACUCCUGCCAGCUUCAGGUUAGCCAUUGCCUCCCUGCCCUGAUUGUGACUCAUGUCCCACCUUUAGCUUGGCUUCUCAAUCAGGACUCUGGCUUCACCCUCAAACCAGUAUCUGAUUCCUGGAUCCACACUCACUAUUACUCUGAACUGCUGCCACAACCACCAGGGAAGGUCCUGCUCCACUCACUAGGUAGGCUGCCCUCACCCCACCAGCUUACAGUGGGCCACGGUAUACAGCCCUGAAAUGGGACUUAGAUUAACUGAGUUUUGUUCCCAUCUCUGCUUUUGACCUGCUGUGUAACCUUAGGCAAGUUACUUCUCAAAUCUGUGCCUUCGUUUCUUCUCUUAUGCCUUGACUGUCUUGUUUCUUUAGACUGUAAGAUCUUUGGAGUAGGACUAUCUUUUAAUGUGUGUCUGUAGAGUGUCUAGCACUGUGAGGCCCUCCAGUGAUGAUUGGGACAUCUAGAGGCAUUACUGUAAUGCAAAUAAAUAAUAUGAUUUUAAAACGGCACCUAAAUAGAAGUGGCUUGCUUUUCCCCCCUCUCCUCCCAAGAUGAUGAGCAACUGCUUUUUAUUUACUAUUUUAAACUACAAAACAUAACUGUUGAUAGUACAAACUAUUUGCUAGAGCAACAGUCUUGACAGAAAUAUAGAAGAGGAACUGCAAAGUAUCUAUAUCUAUAUAUAAUAUGUAUGUAUAAAUUAAAAUGUUAACUUUCUAAAGGUAUGUCUACACUGUAAUGAAAGCGCCCCGACUGUGGGACUUGAGCUCGCAGGCGUGGUCUUUUUAAGCUCAGACUUGAGCAUCAACGCUAAAUAUUGACCAAAGGUUUAGAAUUUCUGGAUCCAGGUCUCACAGUUGGGCUCACGCAUCCACAUUGUGCUAUACAGACUCGCCUAUGGCUAGGGCAGUCCCCUGCUAUAGCUGCUCUAGCCCUUUUGUCAUGGUGCACUGUGGUAAAACUUGACUAUCCAUCCUACAGCACUUUACAGGAAGUUGAUGCAGCCUGCCCACACAUCCUGCCAAGAUGUCUUUUAGGUCUGCACAUUCCAGACAACUGAGCCAGCAACAUGGAGGGGUUAUUAUUUUGAAGAAGUUGUCCUGCUUGCGCUUUCACUCCUGUUCCAUGAACCAGGCAGAGCAUCCAGGAGAUGCUGGUAGACAUUUUGGUGGCGUUUUCUGAUGCCCCCUUUGUAGACCAGCAUUUUUGGAGCAGGGCUACAAGCGCAAACUGGUGGGAUCACAUCAGCAUGUGGACCUGGGGUGUCUGAUAAUGGCUCUAGAAAUUUCACAUGGAAAAAAGCUCCAGAAAUGUAGCUUUCUGAGCACUUUGCCCUGAUCCUCUAGCACCACAGCACAAGUAUGACAGUGGCCAUGCCAGUCCAGAAGUGAGUGAUUACAAUCAUCUGAAAGCUAGCUACCCCAGAUUGCCACAGGUCCAUUGCUAACCACUUUGGUGGUGGAAAGUCAACUGUUGGUAAAGUCAUGGCUGAGGUUUCUGAGGCAGUAAAGCAUUGGAUUUUACCCAAAGGUGGUGGACAUAAAAAUAUCCCAGAAGUAAUUGCUGAGUAAUUUUAGAGAACGGGGGUUUCCAAACUGCAUCAGGACUAUUGAUGGGACUCAUGUGCCCAUAGUUUUUUCUUCCUCAAGAAACACAAACACAUAAACCGCAAACUACACUGUUAUGCAGGUCUGUGUGGACCACAGAGGCUGAUUUAUGGAUGCCAAUGUGGGCUGCACUGGAAAAGUUCAUGAGGCUAGGUUUUUCUGUUGAUCAGGAAUCUGUGUUUAUGGACAGGCCAGGACACUAUUCCCACCAAAUGCCAUUGUCAUAAAUGGAUUAACUGUCCCUGCUGUUGUUCUAGAGGAUCCAGCGUACCCCCUUCUUCUUUCCCUUAUGAAACCAUAUCCUAGUAAGAGGCCCUUCUAAAAGACUCUCGUUAAGUCUAAGAUGGUGGUUUAAAUGUACAUUGAGAUUGAAAUCCUGCUUGUGCUGUUCACAUGUUUGGAUUCCAGUGUCAUCAGUGUUGUCUGCAUUAUUGUGGCUUGCUGGGCUUUUUACAAUCUUUGAAUCCAAAAGUGAGCAUUUUCUGCUCCUAAAUGGACCUACCAUGACUGGAUUGUUGAGCCGGUACACUCAGCCAGAAAGUGCAUCUGUCACAGUGGGAGCAGGAUGCACACUGGCAACAGAAAUCAGGGAUGCUUUGUGCACUCACAUUAUAGACUUACAUGGACCAAUGGAAGAGGAAGAAUGGUAUAUUCAUGAAUGUUUUUGUACAGCAGUUUUUAAAGUAAAUGAAGUACUGACGCUGUAUGCUAUAAAGGGGGGUGUGUGUGAUUGUCAUGAAUUGUUAAUUGUGAAUGAGAUGAUUGCUUAUCCAAUGUGUAUGGGGGUAGGGGGUGAUUUGUGUGGCAUGAGCUGGGGAUUUUCAUUAUGGAUUGAUCUGAAAAGAUGUACUGUAUUGAGAAAUUGUUUGGAUACACAAUUCCCAGUUGUGCCUUAUCAUGUCUUUUUCUUUAUCCUUUGAAAUACUCAUUACAUGAUGUGAUGCAGUGUAGUAAUAAACUUUUAAAUAAAAUAAA
Long non-coding RNA from Dermochelys coriacea (leatherback sea turtle), 9015 nucleotides. RefSeq lists it as uncharacterized. The transcript has 4 exons. The record is from RefSeq and is a predicted model, not a curated record. NCBI's taxonomy places the organism in Eukaryota, Metazoa, Chordata, Testudines, Dermochelyidae.